GCCAGUAACAGGUCGCCUCUGCUUUCCACAGACCAAACAUGUGUUGGUGUACAUGUGUUGGACAUCUUCUCUCGGAGAUUCAAGGCAUACCUGUGAAAUCAUGCCCGAGCCCCUGGGAUCCCAGAGAGAAACCUCAUUCACAAGCUUCAGUCCUACUUCUAACAGCGGCUUUGAAGACAGCAGCUGUACAUGACGGUACAGGACUUGUGUUGUAUCAGCUUUUAAAGCAGACAACGUUCUAGGAUUUCUGGGCUGAAGAUGCUAAUUGCCGAUUUUAUGUAUGAAAGUCUUUGUACAUUUAAUCAUACAAUUAAAUUGCUAGAAUAUUUUAAACCA
Long non-coding RNA from Thunnus maccoyii (southern bluefin tuna), 336 nucleotides. RefSeq lists it as uncharacterized. Lineage: Eukaryota; Metazoa; Chordata; Actinopteri; Scombriformes; Scombridae. The transcript has 2 exons. The record is from RefSeq and is a predicted model, not a curated record.